RNAcentral lists this transfer RNA (71 nucleotides) under bacterium. Its description in RNAcentral is "tRNA-Gln". It matches the Rfam family "tRNA". From Rfam's summary of the family: Transfer RNA (tRNA) molecules are approximately 80 nucleotides in length. Their secondary structure includes four short double-helical elements and three loops (D, anti-codon, and T loops). Further hydrogen bonds mediate the characteristic L-shaped molecular structure. tRNAs have two regions of fundamental functional importance: the anti-codon, which is responsible for specific mRNA codon recognition, and the 3' end, to which the tRNAs corresponding amino acid is attached (by aminoacyl-tRNA synthetases). tRNAs cope with the degeneracy of the genetic code in two manners: having more than one tRNA (with a specific anti-codon) for a particular amino acid; and 'wobble' base-pairing, i.e. permitting non-standard base-pairing at the 3rd anti-codon position. The record is from RNAcentral. RNAcentral also lists the same sequence under 1 other name.
UGGGGCGUCGUCUAAUGGCAGGACAUGGGAUUUUGGUUCCCAUUAUCGGGGUUCGAAUCCCUGCGCCCCAG